Molecule: ribosomal RNA, 253 nt
Filed under: uncultured bacterium
Lineage: Bacteria
Description: partial 16S ribosomal RNA
Rfam family: Bacterial small subunit ribosomal RNA
Source: RNAcentral
UACGUAGGGGGCAAGCGUUGUCCGGAUUUACUGGGCGUAAAGCGCGCGCAGGCGGCACAUUAAGUCAGGUGUGAAAUAUCCCGGCUCAACCGGGAGGGUGCACUUUAGACUGAUGAGCUUGAGGUCGGUAGAGGGGGGUGGAAUUGCUGGUGUAGCGGUGAAAUGCGCAGAUAUCAGGAGGAACACCAAUUGCGAAGGCAGCUCGCUGGGACGUUACUGACGCUGAGACGCGAAAGCGUGGGGAGCAAACAGG